AGGGACUUUAGAAUUAUUAAAGAGAGAACUUCUUCAGAAUACCAUCUACCAAUUUUUCCCCCUCAAAUAUCUGCUGUUGUCUGUAAUGACUGGUUUGUUCUUAGCUGUGAUCUGGAGAAAUUCCAACUGAAAUCUGGAAGGGGUGAGUAUGACUUCUUCUAAUAAAGUAAUGUGGCACUAUUCCCAGAAGCUUGGCUCUAAAUAGAAGACAGCAAUCAAGAAAAUAUAUUUUUAUUCUUUUU
Molecule: long non-coding RNA, 242 nt
Filed under: Anas platyrhynchos platyrhynchos (common mallard)
Lineage: Eukaryota; Metazoa; Chordata; Aves; Anseriformes; Anatidae
Description: lncRNA (ENSAPLG00000017547.1)
Source: RNAcentral